UACAGAGGUCUCAACCGUUGUCCGGAAUCAUUGGGCGUAAAGAGCGUGUAGGCGGCUUGUUAAGUCUUGCGUGAAAUCUCGGGGCUCAACCCCGAGCGGUCGUGAGAAACUGGCAGGCUAGAGUGCGGGAGAGGAGAGUGGAAUUCCUGGUGUAGCGGUGAAAUGCGCAGAUAUCAGGAAGAACACCCGUGGCGAAGGCGGCUCUCUGGAACGCAACUGACGCUGAGACGCGGAAGCGUGGGGAGCAAACAGG
Molecule: ribosomal RNA, 253 nt
Filed under: uncultured bacterium
Lineage: Bacteria
Description: partial 16S ribosomal RNA
Rfam family: Bacterial small subunit ribosomal RNA
Source: RNAcentral